This 71-nucleotide transfer RNA is filed under the name Xenopsylla cheopis (oriental rat flea). RNAcentral describes it as "tRNA-Lys". Lineage: Eukaryota; Metazoa; Arthropoda; Insecta; Siphonaptera; Pulicidae. The record is from RNAcentral.
CAUAAGAUGGCUGAAAGUAAGUACUGGUCUCUUAAACCAUUUUAUAGUAUAAUAACAAAUACUUCUUAUGA